AUGACGGGGCAGGCACCAAGUCUCGUGUUCCGGUUCACCGACACGGAGGUCGCCAAGAUGGAGGAGGUCCUUCGUGACCUCAACGCCAUGCCCAAGCAUCCUGUCAUCCAGGGCCUCACCGACGACUUCAAUGCCUCCCAGGACCGCUCCGGCGACGGCAAGGUCCUCGUCCAGUACAAUCAGGUGAGGAAUUGGUUCCAGAACCGGAGGUCCGUGCAGUCCAGGAAGAUGAUGGUGCCCCCAGUGGCCGAGGAACACCACCCAGUGGCCGGAUCUUACUCAGGGAAUAGUUCUUCGGAUGGUGGCCAUGUCCAGUUUGAGGCAAAGUCAGCAAGAAAUGGUGCAUGGUACAAUGUUGCUGCCUUUAUGUCCCACAGGUUCAUUGAAACGAGGGACCCGGAAGUACUAGUUCGAUUUACUUGGCUUGGACCCGAGGAGGAUGAAUGGGUUGAUGUUUGUAAAUGUGUGAGAGUGCGUUCUCUUCAAUGUGUUGCUGUGCUGCCUGGGGAUAUCAUUAUGUGUUUUAAGGAAGGUAAAGAGCAGGCCCGCUAUUUUGAUGCACAUGUUCUUCAAGUUCAAAGGCGCAGGCAUGACGUAAGGGGGUGCCGCUGCAGGUUUCUUGUUUGUUAUGAUCAUGAUCACUCUGAGGAGUUUGUUCCACUGAACAAGGUAUGCCGUCGAUCAGUGCAUCAGAAAGCCCAAAAGCCGCACGAGAUGAUGGAUGUCAACACUGACAAGGUGACCGGGGGCGGGGUUCCCAUUCCACCAGAUCAAGGAGGUCCAUCUGACAAGCCGGUUGCUCCCUUACUUGACUCGCCCACUAGCACUGGCAGCAAUUCAGUGGCAGAUGUUGAGGCGGGGGGUACGGAGGCUACCCGAAAUGGUGAAGGUGCAGAUGAAGCACAUGGCGACAAGAUUGAUGUGGGAGCUUAG
Molecule: ribosomal RNA, 933 nt
Filed under: Triticum aestivum (bread wheat)
Lineage: Eukaryota; Viridiplantae; Streptophyta; Magnoliopsida; Poales; Poaceae
Description: partial small subunit ribosomal RNA
Source: RNAcentral